Molecule: small RNA, 580 nt
Filed under: Pongo abelii (Sumatran orangutan)
Lineage: Eukaryota; Metazoa; Chordata; Mammalia; Primates; Hominidae
Description: retained intron
Source: RNAcentral
AGCAUAUUUUUAGGAGCCUGUGGGGAGAGGUACAGAUGUAAUAAUACCCUUUAUUCACCCUCUUCCAGAAAAGAGAGUGCAAGGAGCAAGUUAAAAAUGGAAGAUCCCUUUUUGCGUGGUUACUGUCUGUUUUAGAGAAUGGCCAGACACAUAAUAGCAGCUUCCAUCCAGGGCAGGCCCUGACCUGCGGCCUCUUCCACCUCAGCUUCACCACCUUCCUCCAGCUGGAACCAGGGCAGCUGUCACCCUGCGUCAGAUUACAGUGCCUUCUGCAAGCUUUCACCAUGUUUAGAACGACUUUGUUGCUUUUCACUCAGGGAAGGGCCCUCCAAAGCCCACACAAAAGGUGGUCAUCAGCGAAUCGGGGACAUCCUGCUCAGGAACAUGUGCCAGUUAAAGGAGUUUACCAGCUACUUCCAAAGACAUGACGAGGUCCUAACAGAACUGGAAAAGGCUACCAAACACUGUAAGAAGUUGGAGGCAGUGUACAAGGAGUUCGAGCUGCAGAAGGUCUGCUACUUGCCUCUCAACACGUUCCUGCUGAAGCCCAUCCAGCGGCUGCUGCACUACCGCCUGCUGC